AGCAGCCGCGGUAAUUCCAGCUCCAAUAGCGUAUAUUAAAGUUGUUGCAGUUAAAAAGCUCGUAGUUGAAUUUCGGAAUUUGUUAAUUGGUCGGGCUUCACUGUCCGUACUGAUUUAAUGAAUUCCUACCUUCUGAAUAACCAGCAUGCUAUUAAGUUAGUGCGUUGGGGAAGCAGAUCUAUUACCUUGAAAAAAUUAGAGUGCUUAAAGCAGGCUAGUGCUUGAAUAGAUUAGCAUGGAAUAAUAAAAUAGGACGGCAUGGUUCUAUUUUGUUGGUUUCUAGGAUCACCGUAAUGAUUAAUAGGGAUAGUUGGGGGCAUUAGUAUUCAAUUGUCAGAGGUGAAAUUCUUGGAUUUAUUGAAGACUAACUUCUGCGAAAGCAUUUGCCAAGGAUGUUUUCAUUAAUCAAGAACGAAAGUUAGGGGAUCGAAGACGAUCAGAUACCGUCGUAGUCUUAACCAUAAACUAUGCCGACUAGGAAUCGGACGAUGUUAAUUUUUUAAUGACUCGUUCGGCACCU
This 520-nucleotide ribosomal RNA is filed under the name uncultured Entrophospora. Its description in RNAcentral is "SSU rRNA". It matches the Rfam family "Eukaryotic small subunit ribosomal RNA", at positions 569 to 1088 of the family's 1831-position model. The record is from RNAcentral. Lineage: Eukaryota; Fungi; Glomeromycota; Glomeromycetes; Entrophosporales; Entrophosporaceae.